GGGCUCACACAAGCGGUGGAGCAUGUGGCUUAAUUCGAAGCAACGCGAAGAACCUUAUCCUGGGUUUGACAUGCAUGGAUUAGCUUCCUGAAAGGGAAGUGACGCGGCUUGCCGUGGAACAUGCACAGGUGCUGCAUGGCUGUCGUCAGCUCGUGCUGUGAAGUGUCGGGUUAAGUCCCUUAACGAGCGCAACCCCUAUCCUUACUUGCCAGCGGGUAAUGCCGGGAACUUUAGGGAGACUGCCGGUGAUAAACCGGAGGAAGGUGGGGACGACGUCAAGUCAUCAUGGCCCUUACGAGUAGGGCUACACACGUGCUACAAUGGUCAGUACAGAGGGUUGCGAAGCCGCGAGGUGGAGCUAAUCCCAUAAAGCUGGUCGUAGUCCGGAUUGGAGUCUGCAACUCGACUCCAUGAAGUCGGAAUCGCUAGUAAUCG
This 435-nucleotide ribosomal RNA is filed under the name uncultured bacterium. Its description in RNAcentral is "bacterial SSU rRNA". It matches the Rfam family "Bacterial small subunit ribosomal RNA", at positions 917 to 1344 of the family's 1533-position model. The record is from RNAcentral.